Long non-coding RNA from Hyla sarda, 395 nucleotides. RefSeq lists it as uncharacterized. The record is from RefSeq and is a predicted model, not a curated record. The transcript has 3 exons. NCBI's taxonomy places the organism in Eukaryota, Metazoa, Chordata, Amphibia, Anura, Hylidae.
CUCCCCCAUUGUGCUUUUUCUGCUGAGUGCCUGCGGCCACUCAGGAAGGAUCCGGAGCAGCGGUCACCCUCAUGAUCUUUGAGUGAAUCUACAGGCUGAUACAGGUGUUGUGCCCUCAGCACAACACUCUCUGGCCAUUUAUUCUCCACUGGAAACUCUGGGAAGAAGGAUAUGCAAAGCAGCUUUCUGAUGCCACCUUUUGGAAGAACCAGUGAAAUCUUAACUCCAUUUACACAUCUGCCAUUGUGAACAAAAUAUUUUCCAAGGGCUUUGCAAUGUUGAACACAUUUUAAGAAAGAAAACUCUUAAUUAUAAAAAGUGGAGCAGUUUGCAAGGUGCUUAUCCUCCAUGACAUUCCCAGCAGACAGCUGAAGGCCCUGCAAUGCAUCUUUCUG